UCCACCCCUCAGUGUGGCGUUAACGCAAUAAACACUCCGCCUGGGGAGUACGACCGCAAGGUUGAAACUCAAAGAAUUGACGGGGACCCGCACAAGCGGUGGAGCAUGUGGUUUAAUUCGAAGCAACGCGAAGACCUUACCAGGUCUUGACAUCUCUUGCAUAGCCUAGAGAUAGGUGAAACCCUUCGGGGCAAAAGACAGGUGGUGCAUGGUUGUCGUCAGCUCGUGUCGUGAGAUGUUGGGUUAAGUCCCGUACGAGCGCAACCCUUAUCAUUAGUUGCCAGCAUUCAGUUGGGGACUCUAAUGAGACUGCCGUGACAAACCGGAGGAAGGUGGGGAUGACGUCAAAUCAUCAUGCCCCUUAUGACCUGGGCACACACGUGCUACAAUGGAUGGUACAGCGAGCAGCGACCCCGCGAGGGCAAGCGAAUCUCCAAAGCCAUUCUCAGUUCGGAUCGUUCUCUGCAACUCGAGAGCGUGAAGCCGGAAUCGCUGUAAUCGUGGAUCAGCACGCCACGGUGAAUACGUUCCCGGGUCUUGCACUCACCGCCCGU
RNAcentral lists this ribosomal RNA (554 nucleotides) under uncultured Facklamia sp. Its description in RNAcentral is "bacterial SSU rRNA". It matches the Rfam family "Bacterial small subunit ribosomal RNA", at positions 832 to 1397 of the family's 1533-position model. The record is from RNAcentral. Lineage: Bacteria; Bacillati; Bacillota; Bacilli; Lactobacillales; Aerococcaceae.